AUUGAACGCUGGCGGCAUGCCUUACACAUGCAAGUCGAACGGCAGCACGGGUGCUUGCACCUGGUGGCGAGUGGCGAACGGGUGAGUAAUACAUCGGAACAUGUCCUGUAGUGGGGGAUAGCCCGGCGAAAGCCGGAUUAAUACCGCAUACGAUCUACGGAUGAAAGCGGGGGAACUUCUGGCCUCGCGCUAUAGGGUUGGCCGAUGGCUGAUUAGCUAGUUGGUGGGGUAAAGGCCUACCAAGGCGACGAUCAGUAGCUGGUCUGAGAGGACGACCAGCCACACUGGGACUGGGACACGGCCCAGACUCCUACGAGAGGCAGCAGUGGUGAAUUUUGGACAAUGGGCGAAAGCCUGCUCCAGCAAUGCCGCGUGUGGGAAGAAGGCCUUCUGGUUGUAAAGCACUUUUGUCCGGAAAGAAAUCCUUGGCCCUAAUACGGUCGGGGGAUGACGGUACCGGAAGAAUAAGCACCGGCUAACUACGUG
RNAcentral lists this ribosomal RNA (486 nucleotides) under uncultured bacterium. RNAcentral describes it as "partial 16S ribosomal RNA". It matches the Rfam family "Bacterial small subunit ribosomal RNA", at positions 30 to 507 of the family's 1533-position model. The record is from RNAcentral.